This 459-nucleotide ribosomal RNA is filed under the name uncultured bacterium. RNAcentral describes it as "partial 16S ribosomal RNA". It matches the Rfam family "Bacterial small subunit ribosomal RNA", at positions 338 to 795 of the family's 1533-position model. The record is from RNAcentral.
CCUACGGGAGGCUGCAGUGAGGAAUAUUGGUCAAUGGGCGGGAGCCUGAACCAGCCAAGCCGCGUGAGGGAAGAAGGUACAGCGUAUCGUAAACCUCUUUUGUCAGGGAACAAAGGCGGGGACUAGUCCCCGGAUGAGGGUACCUGAAGAAAAAGCAUCGGCUAACUCCGUGCCAGCAGCCGCGGUAAUACGGAGGAUGCGAGCGUUAUCCGGAUUUCUUGGGUUUAAAGGGUGCGCAGGCGGCCUGUUAAGUCAGCGGUAAAAGCCAGGGGCUCAACCCCGGCGAGCCGUUGAAACUGGCGGGCUGGAGUUGGCGAGAAGUACGCGGAAUGCGCGGUGUAGCGGUGAAAUGCUGAGAUAUCACGCAGAACCCCGAUUGCGAAGGCAGCGUACUAACCUGCCACUGACAUUGAUGCUCGAAAGUGUGGGUAUCAAACAGGAUUAGAUACCCUUGUAGUC